AGUGUUAAUUAAGGUAGAUUUAUUAUAAAUAAAAUACAUCAAUAUAAAUCAUUAUUAUCGGCCUCCGAAGCCGAAUCGCAAGUUCGAUUCUUGCAGGGCGGGCCA
This 105-nucleotide transfer RNA is filed under the name Oleispira antarctica RB-8. RNAcentral's name for it is "tRNA-Und (NNN) (tRNA-Und-NNN-1-1)". The record is from RNAcentral. Lineage: Bacteria; Pseudomonadati; Pseudomonadota; Gammaproteobacteria; Oceanospirillales; Oceanospirillaceae.